Molecule: non-coding RNA, 228 nt
Organism: Dermacentor albipictus
Lineage: Eukaryota; Metazoa; Arthropoda; Arachnida; Ixodida; Ixodidae
Source: RefSeq, a predicted model, not a curated record
ACGACACCCGUCUCACUUAGAUGAUGUCAUUUCUGUUGCCGUUCUAGUUAGGAACGCUACAUUUUGGCGCAGCCGACAGUUUUCGAAGACCAGCGAUGCGGGUGACGUUUUUCGUCGACCAGGCGUCAUCAGAGUCUGUUGUGUUCACCCGAUACCAAGUGCAAGAGCCUGUCUACCACCACCCACCCAAGCAAGUUUUCCACCAUCAACCGAGACCCGUUUACCAUC